This 547-nucleotide ribosomal RNA is filed under the name Clydonopoma poloense. Its description in RNAcentral is "partial 16S ribosomal RNA". It matches the Rfam family "Bacterial large subunit ribosomal RNA", at positions 1790 to 2616 of the family's 2925-position model. The record is from RNAcentral. Lineage: Eukaryota; Metazoa; Mollusca; Gastropoda; Littorinimorpha; Annulariidae.
CGGCCGCCCUNUUUAUCAAAAACAUGUCUCUUUGAUUUAAUUUUAUAAAGAGUCUGACCUGCCCGGUGAUAAUUAAUAAUUUAACGGCCGCAGUACUUUGACUGUGCGAAGGUAGCAUAAUUAUUUGCCUUAUAAUUAAAGGCUUGUAUGAAUGGUUUGACGAGAAUAAAUCUGUCUUAAUUUAAUUUUUUAGAAUUUAACUUGGAAGUGAAGAGGCUUUUAUAUUAUUGAUAGACAAGAAGACCCUGUCGAGCUUUAUUUAUUAUUUGUAAAUUAAUAUUUUUAUAUUACUUUUAGAUUUUAGUUGGGGUGACUGAGGAACAUAUAUAAGUUUCCUUAAUAAUUUAUAAAUUAACUAAUUUUGAUCCAUGAUUUAAUGAUUAUUGGAAUUAGUUACCGCAGGGAUAACAGCAUAAUCUUUUUUGAGAGUUCAUAUCGAAAAAUGGGUUUGUGACCUCGAUGUUGGAUUAAGGUGUCCUAAAGGUGCAGAAGCUUUUAAGGGUUAGUCUGUUCGACUAUUAAAACUUUACAUGAUCUGAGUUCAAAC